GACGAACGCUGGCGGCGUGCUUAACACAUGCAAGUCGAACGGAAAGGCCCUGCUUUUGUGGGGUGCUCGAGUGGCGAAAGGGUGAGUAACACGUGAGUAACCUGCCCUUGACUUUGGGAUAACUUCAGGAAACUGGGGCUAAUACCGGAUAGGAGCUCCUGCUGCGUGGGGGGGGUUGGAAAGUUUCGGCGGUUGGGGAUGGACUCGCGGCUUAUCAGCUUGUUGGUGGGGUAGUGGCUUACCAAGGCUUUGACGGGUAGCCGGCCUGAGAGGGUGACCGGCCACAUUGGGACUGAGAUACGGCCCAGACUCCUACGGGAGGCAGCAGUGGGGAAUAUUGCACAAUGGGCGGAAGCCUGAUGCAGCAACGCCGCGUGCGGGAUGACGGCCUUCGGGUUGUAAACCGCUUUCGCCUGUGACGAAGCGUGAGUGACGGUAAUGGGUAAAGAAGCACCGGCUAACUACGUG
Molecule: ribosomal RNA, 468 nt
Filed under: uncultured bacterium
Lineage: Bacteria
Description: partial 16S ribosomal RNA
Rfam family: Bacterial small subunit ribosomal RNA
Source: RNAcentral